RNAcentral lists this ribosomal RNA (274 nucleotides) under uncultured bacterium. RNAcentral's name for it is "partial 16S ribosomal RNA". It matches the Rfam family "Bacterial small subunit ribosomal RNA", at positions 523 to 796 of the family's 1533-position model. The record is from RNAcentral.
AUACGGAGGGUGCAAGCGUUACUCGGAAUCACUGGGCGUAAAGGACGCGUAGGCGGAUUGGAAAGUCAGAUGUGAAAUCCUACAGCUUAACUGUAGAACUGCAUUUGAAACUUCUAAUCUAGAGUAUGGGAGGGGGAGAUGGAAUUAGUGGUGUAGGGGUAAAAUCCGUAGAUAUCACUAGGAAUACCGAAAGCGAAGGCGAUCUCCUGGAACAUAACUGACGCUAAGGCGUGAAAGCGUGGGGAGCAAACGGGAUUAGAUACCCUUGUAGUCC